Molecule: ribosomal RNA, 495 nt
Filed under: uncultured bacterium
Lineage: Bacteria
Description: partial 16S ribosomal RNA
Rfam family: Bacterial small subunit ribosomal RNA
Source: RNAcentral
GACGAACGCUGGCGGCGUGCCUAAUACAUGCAAGUAGAACGCUGAAGGAGGAGCUUGCUUCUCUGGAUGAGUUGCGAACGGGUGAGUAACGCGUAGGUAACCUGCCUGGUAGCGGGGGAUAACUAUUGGAAACGAUAGCUAAUACCGCAUAAGAGUAGAUGUCGCAUGACAUUUGCUUAAAAGGUGCAAUUGCAUCACUACCAGAUGGACCUGCGUUGUAUUAGCUAGUUGGUGAGGUAACGGCUCACCAAGGCAACGAUACAUAGCCGACCUGAGGGGGUGAUCGGCCACACUGGGACUGAGACACGGCCCAGACUCCUACGGGAGGCAGCAGUAGGGAAUCUUCGGCAAUGGACGGAAGUCUGACCGAGCAACGCCGCGUGAGUGAAGAAGGGUUUCGGAUCGUAAAGCUCUGUUGUAAGAGAAGAACGAGUGUGAGAGUGGAAAGUUCACACUGUGACGGUAUCUUACCAGAAAGGGACGGCUAACUACGUG